GAUAAAAUGGAUAUUUUGAGCAACCUCUGAUCAAAUGUUCAAGCAAUUCGAAUAAUUUCACAAAUCCGACUUAAUCCAUUAUUUAUCGUAGCUUUAUUUGAAAGCUGAAAUGUUAAUUUCAACUUUAUGGAUGAUUACCGAAAAUCAACCUCGAAAAUUGGGAGACGGACAAUGACAAUUUUCAAUAGGUAGAUAUAAUCAUGUUACAUUUUAUUAGAGAAAAUCUUAGAAAAUCCAACUGAAAUUUGAUAGAUUAUAAGAACACAUCCCGAAAAAUCAGUACAAAAGAGGACAUUUAACUCGUCGCAAUCUAAGUAAUUAUUGAGUGAACCAGCUUGUUCUAAUAAUUAUAAGAACCACAUUAUCGCAGACAAAAUUAAUUAAUUUAGACGAUAACUUAUGGCACAAGUCGGCAUAAUUGCAGUGCAAGGUUGUGAUGGAUUAUAAAUUCUAAUUAUAUCUACUACUAAUUGAA
Molecule: long non-coding RNA, 475 nt
Organism: Dendroctonus ponderosae (mountain pine beetle)
Lineage: Eukaryota; Metazoa; Arthropoda; Insecta; Coleoptera; Curculionidae
Exons: 2
Source: RefSeq, a predicted model, not a curated record